Macaca mulatta (Rhesus monkey) is the source of this 2001-nucleotide long non-coding RNA. NCBI's taxonomy places the organism in Eukaryota, Metazoa, Chordata, Mammalia, Primates, Cercopithecidae. The record is from Ensembl.
CUGCUGCUAUCAGAGCAUAUAUUCAGGGAAACUUGAGUCUAUGUCCUCUGGGUGGCAGUCCUCAAACUUGUCCCAAAUUAACUCUCUACUCAUAUUAAUUUUGCCUCCGUUUCUUCCUUUGGGUCGACAUUUCACAGUGACGCCCCCUUGCCACUGGGCACUCUUGGACGUGGCACUCAGUACCAGGAUGAACCGAUUGAGUUCCUUCGACUCCAGAGGUUUCCCUGGGCACAAAGAGCUGGACCAGGCGUCGCAGGCUCCUUUGCGUGGGCUCCCACUCCGAGGGACAGGCAGCUCCCCGCCUUCCACCAGGUUCCCCUGAUGAAAAGGAGGCAUGCCUACAGGAGCUGUGCGCGUGCAGGUGCUGGCUGCAGGGUUCAGCAAGGACCUCCUUCUCUUUCCUCAGCUGCGAGGGCAGUGUCUUGGGGACCGGUAGUCCAUGACUGGCUGAGGAGACUGCCCUGGGCCACCUGCCACCAUCACUGUGGUUCCCUGUCAGCACCCUGUUGUUCUCAGGUCACUUUCUGGAAGUCCUGCAUGGCGCGAGUGAAAGCUUGGUGGAAAGGCAGCUGUGUAAUUUACCUGCACCUGCUGAAAUCCAAAUGCAUCAUCCAGGACCAAGUGAAUUCAGUAAAGGAGGAGACUCCUACUCAAGUAGGCAAUUAGACUUUGAGGACAGAAAUAGGAAUCUGGGCCUAAUGAAGAGAACUAUGCGCGAGUGUGAUUUCACCCCCUUUGUCCACGGUAUGCUGAGCAGCACUCAGUGUGGCAGUGUAACAAGAGUCAGACUCAGCUUCCUGCCGCAGUCUGACCUCCUGCAAGCCUGUUCGUCGUUCUCAGCCUCAGUUUCCCUGAUGGUACAAUGAUGGGUGUCACUAGAUAACCUCUAAUGCGUGGCCCAGUUCUAGCAUUCAGAGGUAAAAAUGAACUGCAUGCAAGAAGCACCCAGAUGUCUAGGAAGUAGUCCCUGCCUUUGUUUUGCCACAGAAUAGGCAUGAGAUAGAAUCGAAUAGGGAUAGAGAAGCUGCGCUAAAAUUCUUUCAUCUCAACAGUUUGCACCUCCUGAAUUUCUAGUUGUUUUCUUUAAGAAAAUGUGCUGUCAGAUACCAGCACUGUUCAUUUGUUGAUUUUCCACUAUGCUUGGCUUCAACAGUAUGCUCUGCUUUGUAUCAAAAGCCCAGAGACGGGAAGUGCGUUUGUUCUUGGAAAAUUGGGAGGUGGAUCUAUUUAUCUACUGAUUAUGAAAGUUACAGAUUCUAACAGAAAAUUUGGAAAAUACGGAAAAAUUUAAAGAAGAGGCCGGGUAUGUGGCUCACGCCUGUAAUCCCUGCACUUUGGGAGGACGAGGCAGGCAGAUUACCUGAGGUCAGGAGUUCGAGACCAGCCUGGCCAACAUGGUGAAACCCUGUCCCUACUAAAAAUACAAAAUCAGCCAGGCGUGAUGGUGAGCACCUGUCAUCCCAGCUACUCAGGAGUCUGAGGCAGGAGAAUCACUUGAACCCGGGAGGUAAAGGUUGCAGUGAGCCAAUAUUGUGCCAUUGCAUUCCAGCCUUGGCAAAGAGCAAAACUCCAUCUCAAAAUAAAAAAAAAAAAAAGGGAAGAAAUCAAAAUCACCCAGAGGACAGCAUCAUUAAUAUGUUACGUACUUUCUUCCAACCUUUUCAAUGGGAUAUAUAAAUUCAAAUAUAGAAAUCUUAAAAUUGCAGAAAACUACAGAUAUAACAAGCACUUGUAUAUCUACCACAGAGAAGUUCUAACAACUGCUAAUAUCGAUUACAUCUCUCGCAAAUCUUUUUUGCUUUCUAAGGAAUUAAAACAUAGUAUAGAUUUGAGGCCCCCUGGAUGCCCGCCACUCCUGCCCCAGGCCCGUCGCAACAGCCAGUCAUUCAAUGUGUAUCUUCUCAGUCUAUUUCAGCCUAUUCAGUCUAUAUGGGUGUAACAAUGAGUGAUUUGGAAGAUUGUUUUUUAUGUUUCUAAGAAUGCAUAUAAAUGAUAUUAUAC